CCGUGCUAGACGGGGAGCUAGCGGUGCCCUGUACCCGCAAUCCGCUAUAGCGGGGUCGAAUUCCCACCCGCGGGCGCAAGCCUGCCGGGUCGAGCCGUCCACCGCCGGCGUUGAUGGUUGGGUCCGGCGCGACGGAAGCCUGCGAACCCCGCCAGGUCCGGAAGGAAGCAACGGUAAGCAGUAACUUCCGGGUGCCGCCGGGGCGCCUGGCCGGAGCCGGUGAUGGCCGGUCAGCCGGUGGGCCCGUUCAACGGUGGGUGCACGG
Molecule: signal recognition particle RNA, 265 nt
Filed under: Dehalococcoidia bacterium
Lineage: Bacteria; Bacillati; Chloroflexota; Dehalococcoidia
Description: signal recognition particle sRNA large type
Rfam family: Bacterial large signal recognition particle RNA
About the family: The signal recognition particle (SRP) is a universally conserved ribonucleoprotein involved in the co-translational targeting of proteins to membranes. Archaeal SRP consists of a 7S RNA and homologues of the eukaryotic SRP19 and SRP54 proteins. In most bacteria, the SRP consists of a 4.5S RNA and the Ffh protein (a homologue of the eukaryotic SRP54 protein).
Source: RNAcentral